GAUAUUUCGACAAUGGGCGCAAGCCUGACGCAGCAACGCCGCGUGCGGGAGGACGGCCUUCGGUUUGUAAACCUCUUUUCGAGGGGGAGAGGAAGGACGGUUCCCUCGUAAUAAGUCUCGGCUCACUCUCUGCCCGCAGCCGCGGUAAUACGCAGGAGGCGCGCUUUAUCCGGAUUUACUGGGUGUAAAGCGCGUGCAGGCGGCCGUUCAAGUAGUGCGUGAAAGCGCCCGGCUCAACCGGGAGAGGUCGUGCGAAACUGCGGGGCUUGAGGCAGGUAGAGGCGUGUGGAAUUCCGGGUGUAGUGGUGAAAUGCGUAGAGAUCCGGAGGAACACCAGUGGCGAAGGCGGCACGCUGGGCCUGGCCUGACGCUCAGACGCGAAAGCAUGGGGAGCGAACGGG
This 401-nucleotide ribosomal RNA is filed under the name uncultured bacterium. RNAcentral describes it as "partial 16S ribosomal RNA". It matches the Rfam family "Bacterial small subunit ribosomal RNA", at positions 359 to 776 of the family's 1533-position model. The record is from RNAcentral.